CGGUAAUACCAGCUCUCCGAGUGGUAGGGAUGAUUAUUGGGCUUAAAGCGUCCGUAGCCGGCCUGGCAAGUCUUCCGUUAAAUCCAGCAACCUAAUUGUUGGGCUGCGGGGGAUACUGUUAGGCUAGGGGGCGGGAGAGGCCGACGGUAUUCUCGGGGUAGGGGUGAAAUCUUAUAAUCCCGGGAGGACCACCAGUGGCGAAGGCUGUCGGCUAGCACGCGCCUGACGGUGAGGGACGAAAGCUGGGGGAGCGAACCGGAUUAGAUACCCGGGUAGUCCCUGCUGUAAACGAUGCGAGCUAGGUGUUGGGGCGGCUACGAGCCGCUUCAGUGCCGCAGCGAAGGCGUUAAGCUCGCCGCCUGGGGAGUACGGCCGCAAGGCUGAAACUUAA
This 391-nucleotide ribosomal RNA is filed under the name uncultured archaeon. RNAcentral's name for it is "bacterial SSU rRNA". It matches the Rfam family "Archaeal small subunit ribosomal RNA", at positions 468 to 859 of the family's 1478-position model. The record is from RNAcentral.